UGUCUUACGCGUACAGAGAAAGCUUCUAGAGAUGUUUACUCAGGUAAACCAUACAAGCCUGGGGCUUUCUUCAGAGGAGAAGAUUUUAUAGCAUGUUCCACUUCUUGUUGAGAAAUGGGCGCUUUCAAAAUAUUUAUUUGAUCAGUAUUUAAAUGAGGUAAGUUAACUUCUGCCAGAUAUUUAUCUAUACUUUGGGCAUUGGGUUGAGUUAUUCUGUUAUCAUUUUUCAAAUGAUAUUUCAGUAUUAUAUAACAAAGCUGGAAGUAAUAUUGAGCAAGUGCCUCCGCAAUGCUUCAAAAGUAGCUAAAUUUAAUUUCUGGAGUUUGUCUCUUAAUAACUAAAUUUCUUUACAUUUUGGUUUAGUAGGAUUGAUUUUUUUUUUUUAGAUGUUGGGCAAGAUUGUUCUCUAAUGUUAAUCUUUCCAAUUAUAUUGUUCCUUCUAUAGUAGGACACUUCUUGAAUAAAAAUCCCUGUUAGUGUCGCUUUGUGGGCACACCUUUGAGAACUAAUAGAAAUUUCUUUGGAGGAAUUUAGAUCAAAAUAUUCUUUCAGACAUUUGUGAUAAUAUGCUGUGUCAAAUUAUUUAAUAACGCUUUAUUUAUUUGA
Long non-coding RNA from Xenopus tropicalis (tropical clawed frog), 606 nucleotides. RefSeq lists it as uncharacterized. The transcript has 2 exons. NCBI's taxonomy places the organism in Eukaryota, Metazoa, Chordata, Amphibia, Anura, Pipidae. The record is from RefSeq and is a predicted model, not a curated record.